This 168-nucleotide non-coding RNA is filed under the name uncultured Eubacterium sp. RNAcentral describes it as "Lysine riboswitch". It matches the Rfam family "Lysine riboswitch aptamer". Rfam says of the family: Riboswitches are metabolite binding domains within certain messenger RNAs that serve as precision sensors for their corresponding targets. Allosteric rearrangement of mRNA structure is mediated by ligand binding, and this results in modulation of gene expression. This family includes riboswitches that sense lysine in a number of genes involved in lysine metabolism, including lysC. Lineage: Bacteria; Bacillati; Bacillota; Clostridia; Eubacteriales; Eubacteriaceae. The record is from RNAcentral.
UUAAGUAGAGGCGCGGUGAUCAUGAGUCACACAUCCGUAGGUGCUGACAGCCGUUGGAUGGAUGUGUAAAAGGGGAAACCGCCGAAGUUGGUUCGGACGUCAGAACGGAUCUGCUGGGUCUGCAGUGAAGAACUGCAGGACUGUCACCGUAAGGUGGAGUGCUACUUC